Molecule: ribosomal RNA, 253 nt
Filed under: uncultured bacterium
Lineage: Bacteria
Description: partial 16S ribosomal RNA
Rfam family: Bacterial small subunit ribosomal RNA
Source: RNAcentral
UACGUAGGGUGCAAGCGUUGUCCGGAAUUAUUGGGCGUAAAGAGCUUGUAGGCGGUUUGUCGCGUUGUUCGUGAAAACCUGAGGCUUAACCUUGGGCGUGCGGGCGAUACGGGCAGACUGGAGUACUGCAGGGGAGACUGGAAUUCCUGGUGUAGCGGUGGAAUGCGCAGAUAUCAGGAGGAACACCGGUGGCGAAGGCGGGUCUCUGGGCAGUAACUGACGCUGAGGAGCGAAAGCGUGGGGAGCGAACAGG